GACGAACGCUGGCGGCGUGCUUAACACAUGCAAGUCGAACGGAAAGGCCCUGCUUUUGUGGGGUGCUCGAGUGGCGAACGGGUGAGUAACACGUGAGUAACCUGCCCUUGACUUUGGGAUAACUUCAGGAAACUGGGGCUAAUACCGGAUAGGAGCUCCUGCUGCAUGGUGGGGGUUGGAAAGUUUCGGCGGUUGGGGAUGGACUCGCGGCUUAUCAGCUUGUUGGGUGGGUAGUGGCUUACCCAGGCCUUGACGGGUAGCCGGCCUGGGAGGGUGACCGGCCACAUUGGGACUGAGAUACGGACCAGUCUCCUACGGGAGGCAGCAGUGGGGAAUAUUGCACAAUGGGCGGAAGCCUGAUGCAGCAACGCCGCGUGCGGAAUGACGGCCUUCGGGUUGUAAACCGCUUUCGCCUGUGACGAAGCGUGAGUGACGGUAAUGGGUAAAGAAGCACCGGCUAACUACGUG
RNAcentral lists this ribosomal RNA (468 nucleotides) under uncultured bacterium. Its description in RNAcentral is "partial 16S ribosomal RNA". It matches the Rfam family "Bacterial small subunit ribosomal RNA", at positions 28 to 507 of the family's 1533-position model. The record is from RNAcentral.